This 1495-nucleotide ribosomal RNA is filed under the name Salmonella enterica subsp. enterica serovar Typhimurium. Its description in RNAcentral is "partial 23S ribosomal RNA". It matches the Rfam family "Bacterial large subunit ribosomal RNA", at positions 137 to 1586 of the family's 2925-position model. Lineage: Bacteria; Pseudomonadati; Pseudomonadota; Gammaproteobacteria; Enterobacterales; Enterobacteriaceae. The record is from RNAcentral.
GAUUCGUCACACUAUCAUUAACUGAAUCCAUAGGUUAAUGAGGCGAACCGGGGGAACUGAAACAUCUAAGUACCCCGAGGAAAAGAAAUCAACCGAGAUUCCCCCAGUAGCGGCGAGCGAACGGGGAGGAGCCCAGAGCCUGAAUCAGCAUGUGUGUUAGUGGAAGCGUCUGGAAAGGCGCGCGAUACAGGGUGACAGCCCCGUACACAAAAGCGCAUGUGCUGUGAGCUCGAUGAGUAGGGCGGGACACGUGGUAUCCUGUCUGAAUAUGGGGGGACCAUCCUCCAAGGCUAAAUACUCCUGACUGACCGAUAGUGAACCAGUACCGUGAGGGAAAGGCGAAAAGAACCCCGGCGAGGGGAGUGAAAAAGAACCUGAAACCGUGUACGUACAAGCAGUGGGAGCACAGGUUUACCUGUGUGACUGCGUACCUUUUGUAUAAUGGGUCAGCGACUUAUAUUCUGUAGCAAGGUUAACCGUAUAGGGGAGCCGGAGGGAAACCGAGUCUUAAUUGGGCGUUAAGUUGCAGGGUAUAGACCCGAAACCCGGUGAUCUAGCCAUGGGCAGGUUGAAGGUUGGGUAACACUAACUGGAGGACCGAACCGACUAAUGUUGAAAAAUUAGCGGAUGACCUGUGGCUGGGGGUGAAAGGCCAAUCAAACCGGGAGAUAGCUGGUUCUCCCCGAAAGCUAUUUAGGUAGCGCCUCGUGAAUUCAUCUCCGGGGGUAGAGCACUGUUUCGGCUAGGGGGCCAUCCCGGCUUACCAACCCGAUGCAAACUGCGAAUACCGGAGAAUGUUAUCACGGGAGACACACGGCGGGUGCUAACGUCCGUCGUGAAGAGGGAAACAACCCAGACCGCCAGCUAAGGUCCCAAAGUCAUGGUUAAGUGGGAAACGAUGUGGGAAGGCCCAGACAGCCAGGAUGUUGGCUUAGAAGCAGCCAUCAUUUAAAGAAAGCGUAAUAGCUCACUGGUCGAGUCGGCCUGCGCGGAAGAUGUAACGGGGCUAAACCAUGCACCGAAGCUGCGGCAGCGAACGUAUCACCCAAGACAACUUUACGGAGUUGACGAUUGACGGAGCGAAGCGACGUCAAAGCGUUCAUUAAAGUCGAGUUGGCUUAGGGAUACGUUCGUUGGGUAGGGGAGCGUUCUGUAAGCCUGUGAAGGUGUGUCGUGAGGCAUGCUGGAGGUAUCAGAAGUGCGAAUGCUGACAUAAGUAACGAUAAAGCGGGUGAAAAGCCCGCUCGCCGGAAGACCAAGGGUUCCUGUCCAACGUUAAUCGGGGCAGGGUGAGUCGACCCCUAAGGCGAGGCCGAAAGGCGUAGUCGAUGGGAAACGGGUUAAUAUUCCCGUACUUGGUGUUACUGCGAAGGGGGGACGGAGAAGGCUAUGUUGGCCGGGCGACGGUUGUCCCGGUUUAAGCGUGUAGGUGUGUGUUCCAGGUAAAUCCGGUUCACUUUAACACUGAGGCGUGACGACGAGGCACUACGGUGCU